UAGUCCACGCCGUAAACGAUGAAUACUAGGUGUAGGGGGUAUCGACCCCCUCUGUGCCGCAGCUAACGCAAUAAGUAUUCCGCCUGGGGAGUACGACCGCAAGGUUGAAACUCAAAGGAAUUGACGGGUCCCCGCACAAGCAGCGGAGCAUGUUGUUUAAUUCGAAGCAACGCGAAGAACCUUACCAGGGCUUGACAUCCACAGAAUCCGAUGGAAACAUUGGAGUGCCCUUCGGGGAAUUGUGAGACAGGUGGUGCAUGGUUGUCGUCAGCUCGUGUCGUGAGAUGUUGGGUUAAGUCCCGCAACGAGCGCAACCCUUGUGUUUAGUUACCAGCAAGUAAUGUUGGGGACUCUAGACAGACUGCCGGUGAUAAACCGGAGGAAGGUGGGGACGACGUCAAAUCAUCAUGCUCCUUACGUCCUGGGGCUACAAACGUGCUACAAUGGGCCAUUACAAAGGGGAAGCC
This 467-nucleotide ribosomal RNA is filed under the name uncultured bacterium. RNAcentral describes it as "bacterial SSU rRNA". It matches the Rfam family "Bacterial small subunit ribosomal RNA", at positions 791 to 1251 of the family's 1533-position model. The record is from RNAcentral.